Molecule: ribosomal RNA, 429 nt
Filed under: Chloroflexota bacterium
Lineage: Bacteria; Bacillati; Chloroflexota
Description: Chloroflexi bacterium partial 16S ribosomal RNA
Rfam family: Bacterial small subunit ribosomal RNA
Source: RNAcentral
UGGGGAAUAUUGCACAAUGGGCGCAAGCCUGAUGCAGCCAUGCCGCGUGUGUGAAGAAGGCCUUCGGGUUGUAAAGCACUUUCAGCGGGGAGGAAGGCGAUAAGGUUAAUAACCUCAUCGAUUGACGUUACCCGCAGAAGAAGCACCGGCUAACUCCGUGCCAGCAGCCGCGGUAAUACGGAGGGUGCAAGCAUUAAUCGGAAUUACUUGGCGUAAAGCGCACGCAGGCGGUUUGUUAAGUCAGAUGUGAAAUCCCCGGGCUCAACCUGGGAACUGCAUCUGAUACUGUCAAGCUUGAGUCUCGUAGAGGGGUGUAGAAUUCCAGGUGUAGCGGUGAAAUGCGUAGAGAUCUGGAGGAAUACCGGUGGCGAAGGCGGCCCCCUGGACAAAGACUGACGCUCAGGUGCGAAAGCGUGGGGAGCAAACAGG